RNAcentral lists this microRNA precursor (89 nucleotides) under Saccharopolyspora erythraea NRRL 2338. Its description in RNAcentral is "microRNA mir-598". The record is from RNAcentral. Lineage: Bacteria; Bacillati; Actinomycetota; Actinomycetes; Pseudonocardiales; Pseudonocardiaceae.
GGUCGAUACUGCUGAAGGUGCCCGAUGGUGCCGAAGGUGCCCACAUCGAAAUAGUGGCACCUUCGGCACCUUCGGCACCUUCGCAAGAU